This is a long non-coding RNA of Glycine soja, 1765 nucleotides long. RefSeq lists it as uncharacterized. The transcript is spliced from 3 exons. NCBI's taxonomy places the organism in Eukaryota, Viridiplantae, Streptophyta, Magnoliopsida, Fabales, Fabaceae. The record is from RefSeq and is a predicted model, not a curated record.
GUUCCCUUCUAUCUCUCAUUCAGCGCCUCCUCGUCUUCAAACCUUUCGUUAUUCUCUUAUUCAUCCUUCUCUUCUGAAAAAUCCAGAUCUCUUUCUGCCCUUUUCUCCGUCACGCUUUUCGUGACCGGAUCUGUAUGGAUUUGAUCCAGAUCUACACGCCGAUGGUGGUUUUGGCCGGGUCUUUCAUAGAUCUGGUGCGUAGAGGCUCAGAUCUACGGUACCGAGGUACAACAGAGAAUCGAUGACAAGAACGCAGAUCCGACGGUAGAUCCAGCCGAUUCCGCUUGUUCGAUCGCUACAGACCCCUGUAUCGGAUCAUUAAGCAGCGUGUCUCGCGCGUUCUACACGUGUUGCCGAUCUCGGAUGUUGUAAAAUUAGUUUAUGAUGUGAAGCUAUGGAGUGGAAAAUAUGUGGAUGUAGGAGAUUUCGGGAUGAAUGGCCUCAAAACGCUUUGUCGUUUGUGGUUAUUGAGUCCUGAGUGAUCUUGUCAUCCGACCUUUGCCAUGACAGGUGCGCUUGCAUGGCAGGUCAAAAAAUGUUAAUAAAAAAAGUUUUAUUGGUUUGGGGAGAGAUCGCACGGGGGUUGCCCGGGGUCUCUUCCUCUUGUGUGGUGUGGUGUUUGCUGUGCUCUCCUUUUCGUUAUGCCUUUUAUUAUUACCUAUCUGUCGCUCCACUCCGUAUUACGACUCUGGAUCAGAGGAUACAUCAGAGGAUUCGCUCCAACCCCUAUCGAGUAAGGUAUUAUCUGUCAAUUUACAUUCGAAAGGGUUAGGCUAUUGAAUUUUAAAUAAUUACAGAUAAAAUCAUCGAUAGCUUUGAUUUUAAAAAUUAAUCAUAAUCAUCGGUUAGGUUGCAACAUAAUACUUAAUUCGCCUAAUUUUUUAACUGCGCCUCAGAGUAUUCAUAACAUAUUCUAUUAAAUUAAUAAGCUGGUGAUGUAAUUAAUAUUAAUAUGUAGUUUUGGCAAUCUUAUUGGCAGAAGAUGCUAGGUGGAGUUCAUCAAUAUUCUGGUAGGUAUAAUAUCUUCAUGAAUCUAAUAUAACGUUAUUCAUAGUGAAAAUAAAUCGAGCCAAGGAAUUUAUUAAUAAUUGUCUUCAUUUCAUAUUAGCUGCCUGCUGCGACUUCCUUAUGCAUAAUUUUACUGUUUAUAGAAAUUGUGAAGCUAUACUGUUGUAAUUGUCAUGUAUAUUGUUCCCUUUUUCAUCUUACUUGAUUUGGUAAACUCCGGUUACUUGUAUCCAAAUAAGAUGGGCCAUUUGUAUUGCGGGGGCUUUGUAUAAUUGUACAAUUAUCUACUUGUAAGAAGUUCAGAUUCGGGCGACAACAUUUGUAAUGCAGAAUUAGGUCAUUAACAUUGUAAAUCUUCUGGCGAUGAUUGGAAUAUCAAUGUGAAGACGCUAUAUGACUUCUGCUAUGACAAUAUCAUUGUGGUUGUCAAGGUAUUUUUGAAGAAAUAUCGUGGAUUUACAAAGAAUCUGGUUAGGCUUCUACAAUUCUUUAAGGUGAAGAUAACUUCGGCUCUUUACACAAGCAUAGAAUGAUAUUUUUUCUUGGUAUCAAGUUAUUCAGUAUGUAUGUUUGUUUGUUUUAAUUCCCUUGUGCUGCAAUUAUUUUGAUAUUUCUGCUGCGAUUAUUCAGUAUAAAUAAGUUAUUCAGCGUAUAUUCAGUUAUUUAGUACAUUGUUAUUCAGUAUACAUAAUUAUUCUUUGUAUAUAUAUAGUUAUUCUAUAGUUUACAUAGUAAUUCUGUAUAGUAUAAAUGGUUU